AGUGAACGCUGGCGGUAGGCCUAACACAUGCAAGUCGAACGGCAGCACAGUAAGAGCUUGCUCUUACGGGUGGCGAGUGGCGGACGGGUGAGGAAUACAUCGGAAUCUACUUUUUCGUGGGGGAUAACGUAGGGAAACUUACGCUAAUACCGCAUACGACCUACGGGUGAAAGCAGGGGAUCUUCGGACCUUGCGCGAUUGAAUGAGCCGAUGUCGGAUUAGCUAGUUGGCGGGGUAAAGGCCCACCAAGGCGACGAUCCGUAGCUGGUCUGAGAGGAUGGUUCGGCACACUGGGACUGGGGCACGGUCCCGGCCCCUACGGGAGGGCGCAGUGGGGAAUAUUGGACAAUGGGGGCAAGCCUGGUCCAGCCAUACCGCGUGGGUGAAGAAGGCCUUCGGGUUGUAAAGCCCUUUUGUUGGGAAAGAAAAGCAGCAGGUUAAUACCCCGCUGUUCUGACGGUACCCAAAGAAUAAGCACCGGCUAACUUCGUG
This 492-nucleotide ribosomal RNA is filed under the name uncultured bacterium. RNAcentral describes it as "partial 16S ribosomal RNA". It matches the Rfam family "Bacterial small subunit ribosomal RNA", at positions 29 to 507 of the family's 1533-position model. The record is from RNAcentral.